This 440-nucleotide ribosomal RNA is filed under the name uncultured bacterium. Its description in RNAcentral is "bacterial SSU rRNA". It matches the Rfam family "Bacterial small subunit ribosomal RNA", at positions 338 to 795 of the family's 1533-position model. The record is from RNAcentral.
CCUACGGGGAGCUGCAGUGGGGAAUAUUGCACAAUGGGGGAAACCCUGAUGCAGCAACGCCGCGUGAGCGAAGAAGGCCUUCGGGUCGUAAAGCUCUGUCCUAAGGGAAGAAGCAUGACGGUACCUUAGGAGGAAGCCCCGGCUAACUAGGUGCCAGCAGCCGCGGUAAUACGUAGGGGGCGAGCGUUAUCCGGAAUCACUGGGCGUAAAGGGUGCGUAGGCGGCCAAUUAAGCCAGAGGUGAAAGGCUACGGCUCAACCGUAGUAAGCCUUUGGAACUGAAUGGCUUGAGUGCAGGAGAGGAGUGUGGAAUUCCAUGUGUAGCGGUGAAAUGCGUAGAUCUCAGGAGGAACCACAGUGGCGAAGGCGACUCUCUGGACUGUAACUGACGCUGAGGAACGAAAGCGUGGGGAGCAAACAGGAUUAGAUACCCUGGUAGUC